Molecule: long non-coding RNA, 266 nt
Filed under: Brassica napus (rape)
Lineage: Eukaryota; Viridiplantae; Streptophyta; Magnoliopsida; Brassicales; Brassicaceae
Description: long non-coding RNA (BNAP_LNC019766)
Source: RNAcentral
AACCCAAACCCUAGAAUAGGGGAUCGACACUUUUAGGCUUAGAGUUAUACUUAGACAGCUAGGGUUAGGGUUCAUACCAAAAAUACUUGUAAUCCUUGCUUGUCUACUCAAUAAAGAUCUCUUCAAGUCUCUUUUUCUCUAAUCUCUCAUAAACCCUUACGAAAUACCUAUAAAUCUAUACGAAAGCCAGCAUAUCCAUCGUUCUGUAGUACUCUAAAAGAUCCUACACAAAAAUCCCCUAAUACUGCUAGUCCCUGCUGGUCCCG